This 292-nucleotide ribosomal RNA is filed under the name uncultured bacterium. RNAcentral's name for it is "partial 16S ribosomal RNA". It matches the Rfam family "Bacterial small subunit ribosomal RNA", at positions 775 to 1067 of the family's 1533-position model. The record is from RNAcentral.
GGAUUAGAUACCCUGGUAGUCCACGCCGUAAACGGUGGGCGCUAGGUGUGGGUUCCUUCCACGGAAUCCGUGCCGUAGCUAACGCAUUAAGCGCCCCGCCUGGGGAGUACGGCCGCAAGGCUAAAACUCAAAGGAAUUGACGGGGGCCCGCACAAGCGGCGGAGCAUGUGGAUUAAUUCGAUGCAACGCGAAGAACCUUACCUGGGUUUGACAUAUACCGGAAAGCUGCAGAGAUGUGGCCCCCCUUGUGGUCGGUAUACAGGUGGUGCAUGGCUGUCGUCAGCUCGUGCCG